GACGAACGCUGGCGGCGUGCUUAACACAUGCAAGUCGAGCGGUAAGGCCCUUUUGGGGGUACACGAGCGGCGAACGGGUGAGUAACACGUGGGUGACCUGCCUUCAGCUUCGGGAUAAGCUUGGGAAACUGGGUCUAAUACCGGAUAUGACUUGGCCUCGCAUGGGGUUGGGUGGAAAGUUUUUUCGGCUGGAGAUGGGCCCGCGGCCUAUCAGCUUGUUGGUGGGGUGAUGGCCUACCAAGGCGACGACGGGUAGCCGGCCUGAGAGGGCGACCGGCCACACUGGGACUGAGAUACGGCCCAGACUCCUACGGGAGGCAGCAGUGGGGAAUCUUGCGCAAUGGGCGGAAGCCUGACGCAGCGACGCCGCGUGGGGGAUGA
This 381-nucleotide ribosomal RNA is filed under the name uncultured bacterium. Its description in RNAcentral is "bacterial SSU rRNA". It matches the Rfam family "Bacterial small subunit ribosomal RNA", at positions 28 to 411 of the family's 1533-position model. The record is from RNAcentral.